AGACCCGAAACCCGGUGAUCUAGCCAUGGGCAGGUUGAAGGUUGGGUAACACUAACUGGAGGACCGAACCGACUAAUGUUGAAAAAUUAGCGGAUGACCUGUGGCUGGGGGUGAAAGGCCAAUCAAACCGGGAGAUAGCUGGUUCUCCCCGAAAGCUAUUUAGGUAGCGCCUCGUGAAUUCAUCUCCGGGGGUAGAGCACUGUUUCGGCUAGGGGGCCAUCCCGGCUUACCAACCCGAUGCAAACUGCGAAUACCGGAGAAUGUUAUCACGGGAGACACACGGCGGGUGCUAACGUCCGUCGUGAAGAGGGAAACAACCCAGACCGCCAGCUAAGGUCCCAAAGUCAUGGUUAAGUGGGAAACGAUGUGGGAAGGCCCAGACAGCCAGGAUGUUGGCUUAGAAGCAGCCAUCAUUUAAAGAAAGC
RNAcentral lists this ribosomal RNA (425 nucleotides) under Salmonella enterica subsp. enterica serovar Infantis. Its description in RNAcentral is "partial 23S ribosomal RNA". It matches the Rfam family "Bacterial large subunit ribosomal RNA", at positions 711 to 1133 of the family's 2925-position model. The record is from RNAcentral. Lineage: Bacteria; Pseudomonadati; Pseudomonadota; Gammaproteobacteria; Enterobacterales; Enterobacteriaceae. RNAcentral also lists the same sequence under 3 other names.